UACGUAGGGUGCGAGCGUUAAUCGGAAUUACUGGGCGUAAAGCGUGCGCAGGCGGUGAGCUGUGUCCGAUGUGAAAGCCCCGGGCUUAACCUGGGAACUGCGUUUGAUACGGAUGGGCUAGAGUUCGGGAGAGGAGAGUGGAAUUCCCAGUGUAGAGGUGAAAUUCGUAGAUAUUGGGAAGAACACCGGUGGCGAAGGCGGCUCUCUGGACCGAGACUGACGCUGAGGCGCGAAAGCGUGGGGAGCAAACAGG
RNAcentral lists this ribosomal RNA (253 nucleotides) under uncultured bacterium. RNAcentral's name for it is "partial 16S ribosomal RNA". It matches the Rfam family "Bacterial small subunit ribosomal RNA", at positions 524 to 776 of the family's 1533-position model. The record is from RNAcentral.